AACGAACGCUGGCGGCAGGCUUAACACAUGCAAGUCGAACGGUUGUAGCAAUACAGCAGUGGCAGACGGGUGAGUAACACGUGGGAACCUUCCUAGGGGUACGGAACAACUCAGGGAAACUUGAGCUAAUACCGUAUACGUCCGUGAGGAGAAAGAUUUAUCGCCCUUAGACGGGCCCGCGUAGGAUUAGGUAGUUGGUGGGGUAAUGGCCUACCAAGCCUACGAUCCUUAGCUGAUCUGAGAGGAUGAUCAGCCACACUGGGACUGAGACACGGCCCAGACUCCUACGGGAGGCAGCAGUGGGGAAUCUUGGACAAUGGGCGCAAGCCUGAUCCAGCCAUGCCGCGUGAGUGAAGAAGGCCUGGUUGUAAGUAC
This 375-nucleotide ribosomal RNA is filed under the name uncultured bacterium. RNAcentral's name for it is "bacterial SSU rRNA". It matches the Rfam family "Bacterial small subunit ribosomal RNA", at positions 29 to 431 of the family's 1533-position model. The record is from RNAcentral.